This is a long non-coding RNA of Micropterus dolomieu (smallmouth bass), 397 nucleotides long. RefSeq lists it as uncharacterized. The transcript is spliced from 3 exons. The record is from RefSeq and is a predicted model, not a curated record. Lineage: Eukaryota; Metazoa; Chordata; Actinopteri; Centrarchiformes; Centrarchidae.
UCUCUGAGCUGAAAUAUGUUUAUACAUACAAGUAAACCAACUCAGUUCACUUUUUACGUGCGUGCAUAAACGCCUGUGGACCAAUACUUCAUUUUCUUUUGACAGUAGCUGUAGUGGCCCUUUUGAAUAACACCAGUGGAUGAUGCUGCAGUGCAGUGGUGAGACUGGGGUACGUCCGAAGAGCGGCAUCACCUUUUAAUGACCGUCCUGUACUACCAUCUUUUCCCAAGGACAGGCAGGGCAGCGGCAGCCUCUGCAGGGGGAUUGUGCUCCCUGCUGGUUUCAGAUGGCACGCGUGGGAGCCCGACAGAGGAGGAUUGAAAAACGCACAGCUCUGAGGAGAUGACAGGAGAGAGAAGUAUUAAGGACACCAGUGUUGGCAGAGCAGUGGGGAGGU